Molecule: long non-coding RNA, 1190 nt
Filed under: Vulpes vulpes (red fox)
Lineage: Eukaryota; Metazoa; Chordata; Mammalia; Carnivora; Canidae
Description: lncRNA (ENSVVUG00000004960.1)
Source: RNAcentral
GAUUCAAGGUCAGAGGAGGAGCAUGUGACCCAAGCAGCAGGGCCAAGGAGCUGGGCCUGAAGCUGCCCAUGGUCAUCUUGGUUUGCCCCAAAAUGAAGCCAGCACAGACAAAAGGCAGAGCCAAGAAACAAACAAAUGAUGGACAACGUGGUUUGAGCAACUCAAUCUGGACACAUCUGACGUACAUGUCUCUCCCCACCCUCCACCCCUGCAAAACAACCUGUUUUUUUGCUUAAGCCAAUGUGAGUUGUACUGAAGUUACUUUUCCCAGGAAUGACCCUGGCUGGGCAGAGGGUGGACCCGUAAGACCCUCCUGAGGUCUGAAUCACUUGCAGAAUUGCAACUCAGUGACUUCCUAAUUUCUGAAAGCGCUCUGGAGGGCGGACAUUCUCGAACACAAGUCUCCAGUGUGGGCUCUGCUCUGAGAAUACUGGCAUCUGCAGCUCUUUUCAAGACUCAGACUUCAGGAUUAUAUAAAUACGUUACCCGUGGGAAUGAGAGUUUGGAAGAGGACGAGAAUGGCCGGGAGUGUCUUUCUGAAACACGGGGUCCUGGGUGCCACCCCAGCCUUUUGGAAUCAGAAUCUCCCAGGCGGAGGGACGCAGUCUGCGGCCAGUGCUUGGGCACAUCUCCCUCAUCGGCAGGGAGACUGGGGGACUCCCGAUUCUAAGGAAUUUAUCAGGGAUUACCUUGCCUGCUUCUAGUUAGAUGAUUUGUGGAAAGCCUGCAUAUCGGUGCACCGCAUGGUUUCCGUGGCCUGUACGUCGCAGGUGUGUCACUGGGCCCCCGGCAGUGCCCAGGUCCUGACAGCCCUCAGCUCCGGCGGGGAGGGGCCCCCGCUGCACUUGGGCCCCCACCCGCCGCCCUGGCCACCGCCGGGACCUCACCUGUCUUACCACUGACUCCAAACCUCCUCAUUCAAUUUCGUGCUGGUUUGAUCCCUCCUGAGACUGAACAUUUUCCGGUGUUUGCAUACUAAUCAUAUUUUCUCUUGGAGACUUUCUCUGACCCUGUUUUUUGCCUGUUUAAUUCCGGUCUUUUCAUGUUUCCUGCCUAGUUUCCACAAACUCUUUAUAUACAAGAUAGCAACUCUNUGGAGACUUUCUCUGACCCUGUUUUUUGCCUGUUUAAUUCCUGGUCUCUUCAUGUUUCCUGCCUAGUUUCCACAAACUCUUUAUAUACAAGAUAGC